Molecule: transfer RNA, 89 nt
Filed under: Amicula sp. isolate GU52X-4 cfCalB7
Lineage: Eukaryota; Bacillariophyta; Bacillariophyceae; Diploneidales; Diploneidaceae
Description: tRNA-Ser
Rfam family: tRNA
About the family: Transfer RNA (tRNA) molecules are approximately 80 nucleotides in length.
Source: RNAcentral
GGAUAAGUGACUGAGUUGGUUUAAAGUGUUAGUUUUGAAAAUUAUUGUAUUUUAUUUAAAUACCAUGGGUUCAAAUCCCAUCUUAUCCU